UUAAGCAAGAAAGGGCGCAGGGUGGAUGCCUUGGCACUGAGAGCCGAAGAAAGACGUGAUAAGCUGCGAUAAGCAGCGGUGAGGAGCAAAUAUCCGAUGACCCGCUGAUUUCUGAAUGGGGAAACCCGGCUGAGCAACCCUCAGUCACCAUAUGCUGAAUACAUAGGUAUAUGGAGGGAACCCGCUGAACUGAAACAUCUAAGUAGGCGGAGGAAGAGAAAGAAACAUCGAUUCUGUGAGUAGCGGCGAGCGAAAACGGAAGAGCCUAAACCGGAGCGCGUGCGUUCCGGGGUUCGGACUGCGACAUGUGAGCAAUAGGAUAACAGAACAGUCUGGGAAGUCAGACCAGAGAGGGUGAAAGUCCCGUAUGUGAAAUCCGAGUUGCAGCUAGCAGGAUCCAGAGUACCACGAGACACGAGAAACCUUGUGGGAAGGCAGGGAGACCACUCCCUAAGGCUAAAUACUACUCAGUGACCGAUAGCGCAUAGUACUGUGAAGGAAAGGUGAAAAGGACCCCGGGAGGGGAGUGAAAGAGAACCUGAAACCCUGUGUCUACAAGCUGUGGAAGAUCUUUACAUGAUCAACCGCGUACUUUUUGUAGAACGGUCCGGCGAGUUGCCAUGUCUGGCAAGGUUAAGUACUUAAGGUACGGAGCCGAAGUGAAAGCAAGUGUUAACAGCACGUAAAGUCAGACCGGGCAGACCCGAAACCGGGUGAUCUACCCAUGUCCAGGUUGAAGUUGCCGUAAAAGGCAAUGGAGGACCGAACGCACAUCCGUUGAAAAGGGUGGCGAUGAGGUGUGGGUAGGGGAGAAAUUCCAAUCGAACCCGGAGAUAGCUGGUUCUCCUCGAAAUAGCUUUAGGGCUAGCCUCAUAUUAGUCUUGCGGAGGUAGAGCACUGAAUAUCCUAGGGGGCGUCAAAGCUUACCGAAGAUUAUCAAACUCCGAAUGCCGUAAAGAUGAUGUAUGGGAGUCAGACUGCACGAGAUAAGUUGGGUAGUCAAAAGGGAAAGAGCCCAGACCUACAGCUAAGGUCCCAAAGUACGUGUUAAGUGGAAAAGGAUGUGGGAUUUCGAAGACAACUAGGAUGUUGGCUCAGAAGCAGCCAUACAUUCAAAGAGUGCGUAAUAGCUCACUAGUCGAGAGGUCCUGCGCCGAAAAUGUCCGGGGCUGAAACACGACACCGAAGCUUAGGAAUCGAAAGAUUGGUAGAGGAGCAUUGAAUACGGAACGAAGCAGUACCGGAAGGAGCUGUGGACUGUAUUGAAGAGAGAAUGCCGGAAUGAGUAGCGAGAUUUAAGUGAGAAUCUUAAAGGCCGAAUAUCUAAGGUUUCCAGGGUAAAGCUGAUCUUCCCUGGGUAAGUCGGGGCCUAAGGCGAGGACGAAAGUCGUAGUCGAUGGAUAACAGGUUGAAAUUCCUGUACCGCAUAUAUUCAGAAAUGUGGGGACACAGAUGGAGAGUACAACCCGGGAAUGGAUAGACCGGGGCAAGCGAGGUAGGAGAAUGGCAGGCAAAUCCACCAUUCAAUCUGAAGACGUGACGCGUACCGAACAAGAGUAGGGAAGUGUAUGAGCCAGCUGUCGAGAAAAGCCGCUAUUGUGAUAUAUGUGCCCGUACCGUAAACCGACACAGGUGGAUGAGGAGAGAAUCCUAAGGCCGGCGGGAGAAGUGUUGUUAAGGAACUCGGCAAAAUGACCCCGUAACUUCGGGAGAAGGGGUGCCUCGGAAGAGGCCGCAGAGAAAUGGCCCAAGCAACUGUUUAGCAAAAACAUAGGUCUAUGCAAAACCGAAAGGUGAGGUAUAUGGGCUGACGCCUGCCCGGUGCUGGAAGGUUAAGAGGAGAGCUUAGCGCAAGCGAAGGUUUGAAUUUAAGCCCCAGUAAACGGCGGCCGUAACUAUAACGGUCCUAAGGUAGCGAAAUUCCUUGUCGGGUAAGUU
RNAcentral lists this ribosomal RNA (1938 nucleotides) under human gut metagenome. Its description in RNAcentral is "bacterial LSU rRNA". It matches the Rfam family "Bacterial large subunit ribosomal RNA", at positions 3 to 1982 of the family's 2925-position model. The record is from RNAcentral.